This 367-nucleotide ribosomal RNA is filed under the name Salmonella enterica subsp. enterica serovar Weltevreden. Its description in RNAcentral is "partial 23S ribosomal RNA". It matches the Rfam family "Bacterial large subunit ribosomal RNA", at positions 454 to 722 of the family's 2925-position model. The record is from RNAcentral. RNAcentral also lists the same sequence under 1 other name. Lineage: Bacteria; Pseudomonadati; Pseudomonadota; Gammaproteobacteria; Enterobacterales; Enterobacteriaceae.
CAUCCUCCAAGGCUAAAUACUCCUGACUGACCGAUAGUGAACCAGUACCGUGAGGGAAAGGCGAAAAGAACCCCGGCGAGGGGAGUGAAAAAGAACCUGAAACCGUGUACGUACAAGCAGUGGGAGCCCCACCACUAAGCCAGUGGUGAACUCCACAUACGCAUCCUUUGCUGAGGAUGCGGUUAACGGAGCGAAAGCGACGUUCAACCGCAAAAGAAGCAGAGGGGGCUUAGUGGUGGGGUGACUGCGUACCUUUUGUAUAAUGGGUCAGCGACUUAUAUUCUGUAGCAAGGUUAACCGAAUAGGGGAGCCGGAGGGAAACCGAGUCUUAAUUGGGCGUUAAGUUGCAGGGUAUAGACCCGAAACC